This 271-nucleotide unclassified non-coding RNA is filed under the name Hevea brasiliensis (rubber tree). Lineage: Eukaryota; Viridiplantae; Streptophyta; Magnoliopsida; Malpighiales; Euphorbiaceae. The record is from RNAcentral.
GUCAGCCUUGGCAUCUCCAUUUUCAGCAGGGUUGCUGCCCUUCUUUCCCUUGGCUGCCUUCUUAGGGGCGGCUUUCUUGGCCUUUGGUUCUGGUUUAGGAGGAGCUGGUUUAGCAGACAACCUCGCGGAGCGUCUUGUUGGCUCCUCCUUGCCUUUGGCGCCCUUCUCACCAUCAAUCUUUCUUUUGGGCAUCUUGGCUGCAGAAAAAACCCGAAAAAAUGGCAAAAAAAAUCUGAGUGUGGGUGUGUAUAGUAUGCUCGUCAGCAGCGGC